RNAcentral lists this ribosomal RNA (921 nucleotides) under uncultured Zetaproteobacteria bacterium. Its description in RNAcentral is "bacterial SSU rRNA". It matches the Rfam family "Bacterial small subunit ribosomal RNA", at positions 16 to 896 of the family's 1533-position model. The record is from RNAcentral. Lineage: Bacteria; Pseudomonadati; Pseudomonadota; Candidatius Mariprofundia.
AUCAUGCUCAGAAKYGAMGACGCUGGCGGCGUGCCUAACACAUGCAAGUCGAACGGUAACAGGUCUUCGGAUGCUGACGAGUGGCGCACGGGUGAGUAACGCGUGGAUAUCUGCCUAUUAGUGGGGGACAACUACAGGAAACUGUAGCUAAUACCGCAUAAUCUCUACGGAGGAAAGCAGGGGACCUUUCGGGGCCUUGCGCUGAUAGAUGAGUCCGCGUCUGAKUAGCUAGUUGGUAAGGUAAUGGCUUACCAAGGCGAUGAUCAGUAACUGGUUUGAGAGGAUGAUCAGUCACACUGGAACUGAGACACGGUCCAGACUCCUACGGGAGGCAGCAGUGGGGAAUAUUGCACAAUGGGGGAAACCCUGAUGCAGCGACGCCGCGUGCGGGAAGAAGGCCUUCGGGUUGUAAACCGCUUUCAAUUGGGAAGAAGAGAUGAGUAUUAAUAGUGCUCUGAUUUGACGGUACCUUUAGAAGAAGCACCGGCUAAUUUCGUGCCAGCAGCCGCGGUAAUACGAAAGGUGCAAGCGUUGUUCGGAUUUACUGGGCGUAAAGAGAUCGUAGGGUGGUUUKUUWAGGUCGGAUGKGGAAAAUCCCAGGGCUCAACCCCUGGAACUGCAUUCGAUACUGGCAGGCUAGAGUUUUGGGGAGGGGGUAAAGCGCGGAAAUUUCCGGGUGUUGUAGCAGUUGAAAUGCGUAGAUAUAUACGGGAGGAACACCUUGAGGGCGAAGGGCGGCUUUACUGGGACCAAUACUGACACUGAGGAAUCCGAAAGCGUGGGUAGCAAACAGGAUUAGAUACCCUGGUAGUYCACGCCCUAAACGAUGUYMACUAGCCGUKCGSGGGUAUCGAMCCCUGCAGUGGCGAAGCUAACGCGAUAAGUUGUACYGCCCUGGCGGAGUACGGUYGCAGAUAACCA